This 586-nucleotide ribosomal RNA is filed under the name uncultured bacterium. RNAcentral describes it as "partial 16S ribosomal RNA". It matches the Rfam family "Bacterial small subunit ribosomal RNA", at positions 355 to 1375 of the family's 1533-position model. The record is from RNAcentral.
UGGGGAAUUUUGGACAAUGGGCGAAAGCCUGAUCCAGCAAUGCCGCGUGUGUGAAGAAGGCCUUCGGGUUGUAAAGCGCUUUUGUCCGGAAAGAAAUCCUUGGCUCUAAUACAGUCGGGGGAUGACGGUACCGGAAGAAUAAGCACCGGCUAACUACGUGCCAGCAGCCGCGGUAAUACGUAGGGUGCAAGCGUUAAUCGGAAUUACUGGGCGUAAAGCGUGCGCAGGCGGUUUGCUAAGACCGAUGUGAAAUCCCCGGGCUCAACCUGGGAACUGCAUUGGUGACUGGCAGGCUAGAGUAUGGCAGAGGGGGGUAGAAUUCCACGUGUAGCAGUGAAAUGCGUAGAGAUGUGGAGGAAUACCGAUGGCGAAGGCAGCCCCCUGGGCCAAAUACUGACGCUCAUGCACGAAAGCGUGGGGAGCAAACAGGAUUAGAUACCCUGGUAGUCCACGCCCUAAACGAUGUCAACUAGUUGUUGGGGAUUCAUUUCCUUAGUAACGUAGCUAACGCGUGAAGUUGACCGCCUGGGGAGUACGGUCGCAAGAUUAAAACUCAAAGGAAUUGACGGGGUCAUAGCUGUUUCCU